GACGAACGCUGGCGGCGUGCCUAAUACGUGCAAGUCGAACGCUGAAGGAGGAGCUUGCUUCUCUGGAUGAGUUGCGAACGGGUGAGUAACGCGUAGGUAACCUGCCUGGUAGCGGGGGAUAACUAUUGGAAACGAUAGCUAAUACCGCAUAAGAGUAGAUGUUGCAUGACAUUUGCUUAAAAGGUGCAAUUGCAUCACUACCAGAUGGACCUGCGUUGUAUUAGCUAGUUGGUGGGGUAACGGCUCACCAAGGCGACGAUACAUAGCCGACCUGAGAGGGUGAUCGGCCACACUGGGACUGAGACACGGCCCAGACUCCUACGGGAGGCAGCAGUAGGGAAUCUUCGGCAAUGGACGGAAGUCUGACCGAGCAACGCCGCGUGAGUGAAGAAGGUUGUCGGAUCGUAAAGCUCUGUUGUAAGAGAAGAACGAGUGUGAGAGUGGAAAGUUCACACUGUGACGGUAGCUUACCAGAAAGGGACGGCUAACUACGUG
Molecule: ribosomal RNA, 495 nt
Filed under: uncultured bacterium
Lineage: Bacteria
Description: partial 16S ribosomal RNA
Rfam family: Bacterial small subunit ribosomal RNA
Source: RNAcentral